AUGGUGUGCCGGGGUGGCGGCCCCGGUCAAGGUGGGCAGCGCUGCUCCCUGCGGCGGACGGCGGCUGCGGGUGCUCGGCUGGGCUCCUCGGCUUGCUUGGGCGGCGAGGCCCCGGUGGAUGGAGCUCGCGGUGGCCGGAUUUCCUCCGUGGGUCGGCCUCCAGAUCUGAAUCGACCAGCUCCAACUCCACCCUCCUCGCCUUCUCCCGUUCGAUCUCAGCUCCGGUGCGGCCCUGCUCGCCGGAUCCGGCGGUUGGCGGUGUUUUGGCGGUGGGGCUCCUGGGACCAGGGGAAACCUUUGGCCGGCGGCGGCGGCCACAACGACGACGAUGCCGCGGCGUCGAACUACUUCUUGGAGGCUUCGUUGAGGUAUCCCACCCCCCACCCAUCUGCCCCUUCAUCUAGGUGA
RNAcentral lists this ribosomal RNA (408 nucleotides) under Triticum aestivum (bread wheat). Its description in RNAcentral is "partial small subunit ribosomal RNA". Lineage: Eukaryota; Viridiplantae; Streptophyta; Magnoliopsida; Poales; Poaceae. The record is from RNAcentral.